Molecule: microRNA precursor, 103 nt
Filed under: Marmota monax (woodchuck)
Lineage: Eukaryota; Metazoa; Chordata; Mammalia; Rodentia; Sciuridae
Source: RNAcentral
AACAGAAUUGCUGGGUCAUAUGGUAUUUCUACACUGAACUUUUUGAGAAACCACCAAACUGUUUUCCACAGUGGCUAUACUACUUUUUGUUCCCACCAGCAAG